This 413-nucleotide ribosomal RNA is filed under the name uncultured bacterium. Its description in RNAcentral is "bacterial SSU rRNA". It matches the Rfam family "Bacterial small subunit ribosomal RNA", at positions 505 to 916 of the family's 1533-position model. The record is from RNAcentral.
GUGCCAGCAGCCGCGGCAAUACGGGGGGUGCAAGCGUUGUUCGGAAUCACUGGGCGUAAAGGGCGUGUAGGCGGCCCGGUAAGUGGGAUGUGAAAUGCCCCGGCUCACCCGGGGACCGGCAUCCCAAACUGCAAGGCUUGAGUAUGGGAGAGGAUGAGGGAAUUCCUAGUGUAGGAGUGAAAUCCGUAGAUAUUAGGAGGAACACCGGUGGCGAAGGCGGCUACCUGGACCGAUAUUGACGCUGAGACGCGAAAGCGUGGGUAGCAAACAGGAUUAGAUACCCUGGUAGUCCACGCCGUAAACGAUGAGUACUAGGUGUUGCGGGUAUUGACCCCUGCAGUGCCGCAGCUAACGCAUUAAGUACUCCGCCUGGGAAGUACGGUCGCAAGACUAAAACUUAAAGGAAUUGACGG